CGCGUAGGCGGAUCAGCAAGUCCGGGGUGAAAUCUUUCGGCUUAACCGGAAAGUGCCUUGGAUACUGCUGAUCUUGAGGGAGGUAGGGGCAUGUGGAACUUCUGGUGGAGCGGUGAAAUGCGUUGAUAUCAGAAGGAACGCCGGUGGCGAAAGCGACAUGCUGGCCCUCUUCUGACGCUGAGGCGCGAAAGCUAGGGUAGCAACG
Molecule: ribosomal RNA, 205 nt
Filed under: uncultured bacterium
Lineage: Bacteria
Description: partial 16S ribosomal RNA
Rfam family: Bacterial small subunit ribosomal RNA
Source: RNAcentral